UAUGAAGAACGUAGCGAAAUGCGAUAAGUAAUGUGAAUUGCAGAAUUCCGUGAAUCAUCGAAUCUUUGAACGCACAUUGCGCCCCCUGGUAUUCCGGGGGGCAUGCCUGUCCGAGCGUCAUUGCAACCUUCAAGCGCGGCUUGUGUGUUGGGUCUCGUCCCCCGUGGACGGGCCCGAAAGGCAGUGGCGGCGUCCCGACAUGGUGCCCGAGCGUAUGGGAAUCCUCUUCCGCUCGAAUCGGCCCAUGCGGCGCUGGUCGUAACCAAAUUUUUUACCGGUUGACCUCGGAUCAGGUAGGGAUACCCGCUGAACUUAAGCAUAUCAAUAAGCGGAGGA
This 336-nucleotide unclassified non-coding RNA is filed under the name soil metagenome. RNAcentral describes it as "partial contains 5.8S ribosomal RNA, internal transcribed spacer 2, and large subunit ribosomal RNA". The stretch from base 2 to 120 matches the Rfam family "5.8S ribosomal RNA", at positions 36 to 154 of the family's 154-position model. The record is from RNAcentral.